This 900-nucleotide ribosomal RNA is filed under the name uncultured crenarchaeote. Its description in RNAcentral is "bacterial SSU rRNA". It matches the Rfam family "Archaeal small subunit ribosomal RNA", at positions 21 to 903 of the family's 1478-position model. The record is from RNAcentral. Lineage: Archaea; Thermoproteati; Thermoproteota.
CCUCACUGCUAUCGAGGUGGGACUAAGCCAUGCUAGUCGAACGACCAGAACCAUGUCUGGUAGUGGCGCACUGCUCAGUAACACGUAGCUAAUCUAACCUUAGGACGGGGGCACCCCCGAGAAAUUGGGGCUAAUCCCCGAUAGGUGUGAUGUCCUGGAAUGGUAUUACGCCCAAAGGUACCAACAGCAUGUUGUUGUUAUGCCUAAGGAUGGGGCUGCGGCCGAUCAGGCAGUUGGUGAGGUAAUGGCUCACCAAACCUUUGACCGGUACGGGCCAUGAGAGUGGUAGCCCGGAGAUGGACACUGAGACAAGGGUCCAGGCCCUACGGGGCGCAGCAGGCGCGAAACCUCCUCAAUGCACUGACGUGUGAAGGGGUUACCUCGAGUGCCGCCUGAAGAAGGCGGCUUUUCCUUGGUCUAAAAAGCCCUGGGAAUAAGAGGGGGGCAAGACUGGUGUCAGCCGCCGCGGUAACACCAGCCCCUCGAGUGGUGGGGAUGAUUAUUUGGCCUAAAGCGUCCGUAGCCGGCCGAGUAAGUUUCCCGUUAAAUCCAGCGUCUCANGCGUUGGACUGCGGGAAAUACUGCCCGGCUAGAGAGUGGGAGAGGUAAGCGGUAUUCUGGGGGUAGGGGCGAAAUCCUUUGAUCCCCGGAGGACCACCAGUGGCGAAGGCUGCUUACUAGAACACGUCUGACGGUCAGGGACGAAGCUGGGGUAGCGAACCGGAUUAGAUACCCGGGUAGUCCCAGCUGUAAACGAUGCACGCUAGGUGUUGGGUCGGCCACGCGCCGCCUCAGUGCCGCAGGGAAGCCGUUAAGCGUGCCGCCUGGGGAGUACGGCCGCAAGGCUGAAACUUAAAGGAAUUGGCGGGGGAGCACCACCAGGCGUGAAGCCUGCGGUUU